RNAcentral lists this ribosomal RNA (407 nucleotides) under uncultured bacterium. RNAcentral's name for it is "partial 16S ribosomal RNA". It matches the Rfam family "Bacterial small subunit ribosomal RNA", at positions 28 to 526 of the family's 1533-position model. The record is from RNAcentral.
GACGAACGCUGGCGGCGUGCCUAAUACAUGCAAGUCGGACGCAGUUGCGAACGGGUGCGUAACGCGUCGGUAACUGCCUAUUAGAGGGGGAUAACUAUUGUAAACGAUAGCUAAUACCGCCUACUCGUAGAUGGACCUGCGUUGUAUUAGCUAGUCUGUAGGGUAAAGGGCUGCCUAGGCGACGAUACAUAGCCGAGCUGAGAGGGUGAACGGCCAAACUGGGACUGGGGAACGGCCCAGACUCCGACGGGGGGCAGGAGUAGGGAAUCUUCGGAAAUGGGGGGAACCCUGAACGAGGAAAGGCGGGGGAGUGAAGAAAGUUUUCGGAGCGUAAAGGUCUGUUGUUAAGGAAGCGGUACUUAACCAGAAAGGGACGGCUAACUACGUGCCAGCAGCCGCGGUAAUUC